Molecule: long non-coding RNA, 556 nt
Filed under: Homo sapiens (human)
Lineage: Eukaryota; Metazoa; Chordata; Mammalia; Primates; Hominidae
Description: HSALNT0191601
Source: RNAcentral
GGCAGAACUAUAUUUCUUUGGCCAGAAGACUUCCUUUAAACGUCUCCCUCUUUCACCUCCACUGGAGUGUAGUGGUAUAGCUACAGCUCACUGCAGCCUUGACUUCCUGGCCUCAAGCCUUCCUCUUACCUCAGCCUCUAGAGCAGGUAAGACUACAGGCUUAAAGACCCUCCAGACACCAUGACUUUCCUUUUAUCACUGAGGUCUUAACUUCAAUGCUACCUCAUCAGGCCCAUGCUCAUGAUCAUAUUUCGGUAAUUGGAACACAGCCAUUCCAAGGCUUUUAGCAGUUUCUUGUACAUUAAUCAUCUUGUUCCUGUCUAGACACUAGCUAUGAAUGUGAAGAAGCCAUUCUGGACAUUCCAGACCCAGCAGAUGCCACAUGGAACAGUACUGAGGUCCAAAACACAUGGUUUUCCACCAUAUCCUGACAAUUGAACUACCCUGGCUGAAGCCCAGACAUCAUGGCACAAAGACAAGCUGUCAUCACUGAACCCUGACAAAGUUCUUGACCCACAGAAUUGUAAGCCUAAUAAAAGUGGAUUUUUAAAAAAAU